CCUACGGGAGGCAGCAGUGAGGAAUAUUGGUCAAUGGGCUUACGCCUGAACCAGCCAAGUCGCGUGAGGGAAGACUGCCCUAUGGGUUGUAAACCUCUUUUGUCAGGGAGCAACGCCGGCUACGUGUAGCCGGACUGAGAGUACCUGAAGAAAAAGCAUCGGCUAACUCCGUGCCAGCAGCCGCGGUAAUACGGAGGAUGCGAGCGUUAUCCGGAUUUAUUGGGUUUAAAGGGUGCGUAGGCGGAAUGCCAAGUCAGCGGUAAAAUCGCGGGGCUCAACCUCGCUCCGCCGUUGAAACUGGCGGUCUUGAGUGGGCGAGAAGUAUGCGGAAUGCGUGGUGUAGCGGUGAAAUGCAUAGAUAUCACGCAGAACUCCGAUUGUGAAGGCAGCAUACCGGCGCCCAACUGACGCUGAAGCACGAAAGCGUGGGUAUCGAACAGGAUUAGAUACCCCUGUAGUC
Molecule: ribosomal RNA, 460 nt
Filed under: uncultured bacterium
Lineage: Bacteria
Description: partial 16S ribosomal RNA
Rfam family: Bacterial small subunit ribosomal RNA
Source: RNAcentral